Micropterus salmoides (largemouth bass) is the source of this 1216-nucleotide long non-coding RNA. RefSeq lists it as uncharacterized. The transcript is spliced from 5 exons. The record is from RefSeq and is a predicted model, not a curated record. Lineage: Eukaryota; Metazoa; Chordata; Actinopteri; Centrarchiformes; Centrarchidae.
ACUAUUGGACGCGCUUGAUUAAAGAGAUACUAAAGAGUCCUGGCAUCAACUGAGACAGAUAACAGCUCUGCUUUUGACCCUUGUUCAUCCUUUCAACUUGAACAACCGAGGCAAUAAACACUGCUUUACAGACGAGGACACUGAUAAGUUAUGUUCACCCUUGUCAGUAAAGCAGCGUUCAAACUCCUGUCGCUGGAAGGUAAGGAGGAAGUGAACGGCUACAUUGUUGAAGCACCCUGCUAGUAAGCAGCACUCUACUCACGUGACUGUGGCUGGUGAAAAAGAAAUGGAAAUCACAUGGGUCUUCCUCAUUAGCAUUGGGAAGGCUGUUGUUACCAGUCCAUCUGUCUCACAUGGUCACUGGUUUGAUCAACAGAGGAGCUGCAUGGCGUACUGUUGCAGACACAAGUGUGUUCCUGCAAUCCUCUAUCAGUGAAGUGAACCAGGCAGCUCCCAGGGCUCUGCCUCUUAAUGCUGUCCUGAACAGGUCUUUUGAAAGGUGCCACCAGCUGGUAGCUGGCUAUCAUGAUUGUGUUGCAAGAUUUUCUGUACUCCAGCACAGUUGUUUAGACAGCAGGAUGAGAUGACGGGGGCACAUCAUAAACAAACAGGUUAUUCAAGUGUCUCUCCUGCUGCUCUCUAUCAUAGCAGCCACCAGCCUCGACACUGCUCCUGGUCCUGCGUGCCUCUGUCCACGGGCCCAGAGGAAGAGCAUGUCCAGCACCAAGGCUCCCAGGUUGUCCCUGGUCAGGAGAGCAGAAUAUACACAAGAAAUUUUACAUCAGCUGAACUGAACAUUAACAAACAUACUAUAUGAAAUUUGCAAACAGUCUAUUCGUGUGUUAGUAUUAUAUUCUCCAUGCAGUUGGAAGAUAAACCAUGUAUACAUUAUAGAUAAGUAUUAAUCAAAUCUUGGAGCUUAAGCUAUGCACCACUUGUUUCCAAAGGAAAACGUUUAUUGGACAACUUCCAUAUAAUACACAAAACAUUAAAAUGGCAUGUUAUGACUUCUUAUUAAACAGGAAACCAUGUAUGUAUACUUUUACGUAAUGAAUUUUUCUUCCACCUCCCUGUGUCAUGACAGGUUUUGUGAGCCUGACUACUGAGUGUGUGUCUGUGUGUGUGUGUGGGGGGGAGCAUCAGUCUGUGUGUAAUCUCCUGCAGUGUCCCAGAUGGCUUAGUGAUGGCUGUGCAGAUUAAAACAAUCAAAAUUCUC